CCGAGACACGGUCCAGACUCCUACGGGAGGCAGCAGUGGGGAAUUUUGGACAAUGGGCGCAAGCCUGAUCCAGCAAUGCCGCGUGAGUGAAGAAGGCCUUCGGGUUGUAAAGCUCUUUUGUCAGGGAAGAAACGGUAUGGGCUAAUAUCCCGUACUAAUGACGGUACCUGAAGAAUAAGCACCGGCUAACUACGUGCCAGCAGCCGCGGUAAUACGUAGGGUGCAAGCGUUAAUCGGAAUUACUGGGCGUAAAGCGUGCGCAGGCGGUUUUAUAAGUUUGUCGUGAAAGCCCCGGGCUCAACCUGGGAAUGGCGAUGAAGACUGUAAGGCUAGAGUGUGUCAGAGGGGGGUAGAAUUCCACGUGUAGCAGUGAAAUGCGUAGAUAUGUGGAGGAACACCGAUGGCGAAGGCAGCCCCCUGGGAUAACACUGACGCUCAUGCACGAAAGCGUGGGGAGCAAACAGGAUUAGAUACCCUGGUAGUCCACGCCCUAAACGAUGUCUACUAGUUGUCGGGUCUUAAUUGACUUGGUAACGCAGCUAACGCGUGAAGUAGACCGCCUGGGGAGUACGGUCGCAAGAUUAAAACUCAAAGGAAU
RNAcentral lists this ribosomal RNA (598 nucleotides) under bacterium enrichment culture clone F61x_D71_T3_G09. RNAcentral describes it as "bacterial SSU rRNA". It matches the Rfam family "Bacterial small subunit ribosomal RNA", at positions 319 to 910 of the family's 1533-position model. The record is from RNAcentral.